UCUUUUCCUUGUGUGCCCGCCGCCGCGGUAAUCCGGAAGGUCCGGGCGUUAUCCGGAUUUAUUGGGUUUAAAGGGAGCGUAGGCCGGAGAUUAAGCGUGUUGUGAAAUGUAGAGGCUCAACCUCUGCACUGCAGCGCGAACUGGUCUUCUUGAGUACGCACAACGUGGGCGGAAUUCGUGGUGUAGCGGUGAAAUGCUUAGAUAUCACGAAGAACUCCGAUUGCGAAGGCAGCUCACGGGAGCGCAACUGACGCUGAAGCUCGAAAGUGCGGGUAUCGAACAGG
Molecule: ribosomal RNA, 284 nt
Filed under: Segatella copri DSM 18205
Lineage: Bacteria; Pseudomonadati; Bacteroidota; Bacteroidia; Bacteroidales; Prevotellaceae
Description: Prevotella copri DSM 18205 partial 16S ribosomal RNA
Rfam family: Bacterial small subunit ribosomal RNA
Source: RNAcentral